Coffea arabica (coffee) is the source of this 277-nucleotide non-coding RNA. The record is from RefSeq and is a predicted model, not a curated record. NCBI's taxonomy places the organism in Eukaryota, Viridiplantae, Streptophyta, Magnoliopsida, Gentianales, Rubiaceae.
CGCUGUGCUUCCAAUGCAGAUUCGGCCCGGCUAAAAGCCAGAGAACAGCAUCCAAAUGGAUAGCCGUUGGGGCCCAAAGGAGCUACCAAAAACCCCCAAAGAAAACGAGGGUCGAAGUUGUCUAUAAGGAUUUUGUGUCUUCAGCAAAUUCUUAGUGCCAAGGCAUGUGCUGAUUCGUAUUAAAAGUCAAAGUAACAAGUAUCUGUAAGCGUAAGAUCCAUUCAUAUGGAUAUGUCCAUGCUUAAUUUAGUGAAUGGUAAUUGAUAUUCUGCGUGCU